GAUGAACGCUGGCGGCGUGCCUAAUACAUGCAAGUCGAGCGAACAGACGAGGAGCUUGCUCCUCUGACGUUAGCGGCGGACGGGUGAGUAACACGUGGAUAACCUACCUAUAAGACUGGGAUAACUUCGGGAAACCGGAGCUAAUACCGGAUAAUAUAUUGAACCGCAUGGUUCAAUAGUGAAAGACGGUUUUGCUGUCACUUAUAGAUGGAUCCGCGCCGCAUUAGCUAGUUGGUAAGGUAACGACUUACCAAGGCAACGAUGCGUAGCCGACCUGAGAGGGUGAUCGGCCACACUGGAACUGAGACACGGUCCAGACUCCUACGGGAGGCAGCAGUAGGGAAUCUUCCGCGAUGGGCGAAAGCCUGACGGAGCAACGCCGCGUGAGUGAUGAAGGUCUUCGGAUCGUAAAACUCUGUUAUUAGGGAAGAACAAAUGUGUAAGUAACUAUGCACGUCUUGACGGUACCUAAUCAGAAAGCCACGGCUAACUACGUG
This 497-nucleotide ribosomal RNA is filed under the name uncultured bacterium. Its description in RNAcentral is "partial 16S ribosomal RNA". It matches the Rfam family "Bacterial small subunit ribosomal RNA", at positions 28 to 507 of the family's 1533-position model. The record is from RNAcentral.